This is a long non-coding RNA of Humulus lupulus (European hop), 5929 nucleotides long. RefSeq lists it as uncharacterized. Lineage: Eukaryota; Viridiplantae; Streptophyta; Magnoliopsida; Rosales; Cannabaceae. The record is from RefSeq and is a predicted model, not a curated record. The transcript has 8 exons.
UCCCAAUUUUAUUUUUUGCCUUGACCCCAACACUACUACAAAAUAACCUCUCGGCUCUCUCUGUGCUACAAAUGGCGGGGCUCGUUCGAAAGCUCAACGGAGUUGCAAGGGGUGUGACGGGGCUCGACUAUGUUUCAGAUGUUAUAGAGAGGGUGCUCUCGAUUGCGAAGGGCUUGCGAGAAGAUGACUGCGACGGUGCUCGGGGCAACGACGUGGGUUGGGUCUCUCAACGGGGUUGGGCGGAGUGACGUGGGUUGGGGCUCUUAACGGUGGCAGCUGCAACAAGGUGAGCAAUGGGUCCUCCUCCAUAUUUGUAAACCCCUUCUUCAUUCCUUCAAUAUUUUCAUUUUUUUUAUUUUUUCUGUGUUUUGAAGAGUGCUUGCCUCCAUUCACGAUUUGGGUUUCUAUGAGUUUUGCUCUGUUUUGGUUUCAUUUGCAUUUAUAUUGAUUUCUUCUUUAUUUUCACUUAUCAUGAUGUGUUAGAUUGAUAUGUGGCAGCUGCACCUAUCAUGAUGCUUUAGAUAAUUAGUUUGCAUGUUUGUAUUCGAUGUUUAUUUGGGAUCAAAAUAUAUUGAUAGAGUUACCAUAGUAAGAUUGUAUCAAGAAUAAGUUGUGAUCCACUGCUAAUAUGGCUUUUCAAGUUUUUGAUUUUGUUUUUAUGAGAAGACUACACUUUAUAUGGUUGCUAGUUUUAACUCUGAAAAUCAUUCAGAAUCUAAAAGCUAUAGAGGGUUAUAAGAAUCUCUUGAACACUGAUAUGGGAAAAGAACCUAACCAUAUAACUAUUUGUAGACAAGAUUUCAUGAAGCUGUUGUUGCCUACAAGAAGAUAAUUGGAAUUAAUGAUAUCUUGUGUUUUUAGAUUAUUAACUAAUGAUUAAAAGAUCAUUGCAACUGUACGUUAACUGUCUUCCAUCUUAAUGCAUUUAAUCAGUAGAAUAAAGAGUUGAAUACUUAUGUGAUAUGUUUCAUUGUAGAUUUCAUAUUUGUUGGUGAAUUGUGAAAUUGUGCCUACGCGUCAUUGAAAUGCUCUUACAGGAAAUAAAUACUGACUAACAAAGAGCUGCAACUUGGUUGCUUGUUCCAAUAGGCUCACAUUUUCCUGAGCAAGUAAGUGUGUUGUUGAAGCUUAUCCUGACUACUUUCAUAAUAGGGUAGUUCCAAUAGGCUGACAGGAAAUAAAUACUGACUAACAAAGAGCUGCAACUUGGUUGCUUGUUCCAAUAGGCUCACAUUUUCCUGAGCAAGUAAGUGUGUUGUUGAAGCUUAUCCUGACUACUUUCAUAAUAGGGUAGUUUUGGCGGUGCCCACACAUUGAACAAUAACACUUAUUGUGUUUAUUUUUCCUAUUUGUGAUUUGUCUAAACUAGUUUAUAGCAUAUAAGCUCAAACAUAUGACAUAUUUACUUAGUUUGCUUGUGCAACAGUUCCCUUUAUCUUGUAGGUUAAUAUUAUGAUUGGUCUUAAAGCAUUGGAUUUGUAGCUAAUUGCAAGAGGUGUGUUGUAUCUUAUUUUUUUUAUUUUAAAUUUCAAUCUUUUACAAUUUUGAAUAACUGCAUAACUUUAGUGGAGUUUGAAUAUUUUAUAUAUUCAUCUGUAGUGAAGUAGGUUCUGAGAAUUUUGUGUUGUAUAUGUUUAUAUAAAGAUUGGAUUAAUGUUUUGUAGUUUUUCCAAAUGGUAUUUGGCAUUUUAACAAGACAAGCAAAAUAGGCAAUGCUUCACUGAAUAAUUGUCAAGUUAUGAACCAAAAUAGACAAAGCAUCACUGAUUAGUUACCAUUGCAUCUCUUCAAGUUGUGAAACUAUUGAGUAUGGAAAAAUAUUAAAAGAACAAGAGAGUAAACUUAUGACUUGGACUGAGACAUUGGUAGCAAGAGAGUUGUGUAACAAUUGUGGGUAAACUUAUUUAUUUAUAUUACAAUAAAAAUCUAGUUAUAAUUUUUCAUGUUUGUUCUAUUAUAAUGUGAUUUUUCAUGUUUGAGGGAUGAUUUUAGAAAGAAAUUCAUGGCAGUCAAUUCUUACUUUGGGAAGACUAUUGGUGACAAGGGUGAGUACAAGGACAAGAAGAAGAAAUAUAUGUUGUUUGACAAUAAAUUUAGUGUUUUAUUUUAUUUGUAAUUUUUAUUAGAGUAAAUGAUUCUUUUUUUAGUGGUUAAUUAUUUACUUUGUAAAUCUAGUUAUAUAUUUUUUAAGGUCAAGACGAUUAUGUUUAUAGACAAGACUAUAUGAUUUUUGAGUCAAGUAAGUGUUCUAUUUGUCCAAAAUUUGUUUUAUUAGAUUUGUAAAUACUUUAUAUAAGUUUUGUUAUUUUAAUCUAUAAUUUUUUAGAUUUGUAUAUAAACGUUUUAUUUAAAUCAUAAUUUAAAAUAAAUAUAAAUAUUUUUUUUACAAGCAACGGCGACACCUAAUAACUGUGGGCGUUGCCAAUAAUGGCAGUAACGACAACACCUAAUAAAUGUCGGCGUAGCUACCCCUACGCCGGCAUAGGCAAAUACGACAGUUAGUCGACUGUUGUCAUUGCUCAAUAGCGACAGUUAAAAACUGUCGGGAAAUCCCGUUUUUGUAGUAGUGUAGAUAGAAUUUCUAUAUUUAUGCUAUAAAAUGGUAAGACUUAUAUGUUACAAGAAAUAAUGUACUAUUUAAAUGACGAUGCUAUGUUUUGAUAAUAAACCAAGUGAUAUGGAAAAGUAUAAUUCUAUCUUAAUAUGUUAUGAAAGUAUGAUGCAACAUGAAUUUUCUUUGUUUUGAUGUGAUUUGGAUUUCAUGUGUUUGUAUGAUGAAUGAAAAGAGAAGGUUGAUAGCGUGCUGAACGCAACACAGCAAAAGAGUUACUAAGGAUAUGACAUAACUCAAAGGGCGGACGCGAUGAGGUUAUUCAAGGACCUGAGAUCCUGUUUACCUCAUACAGGAGGUUUUACCAGCCCAGUUAUACUGGUUACCUCAAAGAUGUGACAUGGACAACAGAGGUAAUAAAUAGGGUUUCUCUCUGGCACGCACUGUAAUGUGGGGAGUUCUGACGUCUGAGUGUGUAUGGCGUGGGGGUUUCCUAUGAACGAAUAAACGAUCAACAUAAGCGCUGAGAUUUAAAUAAACUAUGUUAUGGACUUUAUUUUUAAAUAUGUCAGUAGGACUUAAACUUUUAUUUUUUUUAAACAUUGCAUAUGAAUACUUUAUUUUUAUUUUUAAACUACUGAGUCCAAACUUGGAUGUUUUAUCAAGGCCCCACUGAGUUUAUCUUUUAAGUGGUUUUUGUCUAAUUAUCUAUGAGAUAAGUGAUGCUUUUACAAAGUAAUAGAAUUGAGCGCUUUACAAUUAUUAUCUUUUUCUUGAUAUUGAAAUUUUCAUUUAUUAAUGCAACAUAUUGAAUCAUAUUUGUUAAUAUUGCCUUUGUAACAAAUCGAUAUGCUUUCUCCUAUUGUUUUUACCAAUUAUGAGGUUGGUGUAAUAUGUGAGAAUAAUGUACAAAUUAGGGUAAAGGAAGCAUUUUUAUUGAUAUUGUUUGUAAUUUGCGAAUUGGUUUAUGGUCUCUUUCAAUUUGCGACACCAGUUUAUUGGAAUAAUUUAUAGAUUUAAAAGGAAUGAUUUAUUUUUUCUUAUUAUUUUUAAAAUAGAUUUUGGGAGAUGAAAAGAGUGGAAAUGGAUUAAGCAAACAAUGAUAUUCUCGGAAAAGCAGUUGAGAAGAGUCUUAGUAGCAUUCUAGCUAGUGAGUUUUAUUUAAAGAUGACCGUUAGAUUUAAAAUUGUUUAUAAAUCUUAUUAUUUGCAUAGAUUGAUGUGGUAAAUAACUUAAAUGUAUCAAAAACUAUAUUUUAUGCUAUAAGAGAAUUUGAAAACUAAUUUUGGUGGGGCUUUAAUAUGAUUUAUGCUUAGUUGUGGCAGAGGAGGUCAUUCGUAGUAAUCAGUUGGAGGAUGCCAAUAGGGUCCUCUUGUGGGGUGCCAAUGGUAUGUGGCUUGAGAGCUAUUGAUGAGGUCUAUGACCUUUUACUAGUUGAAGAUUGCGAAAUGGGUAUUGGUUUCUACUAAAUAGCGAUGCAGACAUUUUGAGAUUGGUGGGGACAAAAAUGGAAGGGCACUUCUCUUUGUUUGUUUUUUAUGAGUUUUAGAUUUGCUUGAAUGAUUUCAUUUUGUAUACUUUUAGAUCUGAUUUUGAUUUACAAGCGAGGGUUCGGCAUGGCAAACAAUAUUGCCCAUUUUGGAUUGUACAGAACUUGAUGGGCCAUUCUAUACAAGAGAUGAUUGCAGCUCUUUAUUCUUCAGACACAGACAAUCUAAGUGAAGAUGAUGGCUCAAUGGCUGUAGAGAAUGACAACUACGUUUAAAGAUACAGCAUAUGUAGCUUCAUACCAUGGCGGAGAUGGUGGUGGUCAAGAUCCAAUGGAUCCUACUACGAUCCCAUCCAAUUGUGAGUCAGUAGCUCCACCAAAGAGAAAAGGUCUUGGGCCUCUUGCUCGGAAAAAUUUAGACGACAAAAGGUGAGAAGCUAGACAUCCACUCCCCAUAGUGGUUGACCCUAUCACGUACAAGGUGGUGGGAACGGAACAUGAUGCUUUUGUCCAUCUUUUGGGCACCCAAGUCACAUCCGUGGUUCCAGGAUAUUACAAGGAUUGGACUAGUGUCCCAAAACAGUAUAAGGACAAUGUCGUUAGUAAAAUGAAGAUGGGCGGCCAGAUUAUACUACCCUCAUUGACAGUAUCAAUGCUGAGAUGGCUGAGAGAAACCGAUAUAGGAAAACUAAGCGGCAUGCCCACUUUAAAAAGUUCUACAAAGGACCAGAUGAUUGGGACGAGGUCCUAAAGAAUCCACCCAAAGAUGUCAACACCGAUGAGUGGAAACAAAAUUUGUGAGUUUUUGAGAAGUCCAGAGUUUAUUGCGCGCUCCGUGAAGAACAAAAUAAAUUGCGACCAAAUUAAGUACUCUACAACACAAGGCAUGAAAUCACUAGCGGCCACUCAUCACAAAAAAUUGAACCCGAACCUAAUUGAGGAAUGGAAGGAGUAUCACUGGACAAAAACGAACAAGAAUUUUGUCAACGAGGAUGCAGAACAAGAUUCUCUAAGCUUAACUAUAUUACCAAUUCCAAUAAGUAUAUUUUUCUUUUGUAUUAUAAUUUUUUUUUAAAAUAGGUUAAGUUGAAGUCAACUCUUGAAGCUGAGACUCAGUAGACAGUUGAAUCUGGUACUGAUGAUUCUUCCUUGGUCGAUCAAAUGAAGAUACUAAGUCAGGUUCUUGGUGAAAGGUGGGGCCACCAGCGAGGAGUUGGCUGCAAAUUAAAGGGAAAAGCGUUAAACUACCCCUCUCAAAACACUCAGUCUCAGGCACCACCUCAACAUUCGACUGAGGAAAUACGUGAAUUGGUUGACAUUGUGAAGGUCAUGAAUGAACAGCUUCAAUACGUGUAUCAAGAGCUUCCACCUGAAAAACGUCUGGCAACAAAUAUGGAAAUGCAUAAUACAUAUCAGCGGUUUUUCGAGAAGUAUGUUGGCCCAUCUUCUGAAACUCAGACACAACACACGUCUCAAGCUUCAGCUUCUCAGCCUUCACUAGGCCAUCCCGACACCCCUGCACCAACUUUGUCAUCACAACCUUUGACACAGCCAUAUAUGUGUCAAUGGCUGAUGCCUCCAUACCCUCAGGCUUAUCAUCCUCAUAUGAGCGGGCAUUCGUCCCAACCCCCGCCUCCUCAUAUGAGUGGGUCGUUGUCUCAACCUCUGCCCUAUCCAUAUCCAUACAUGUUUGGAGCUAGAGGAUCAUCGUUACCUCCACAAUAUCCAUGAGCAAUGCCUCCACACACACCACAGGCACCGCAGCCACCGCAGGCACCAAAAGAAGGGGACAAUACAGAGGACGUCGAAGGUUGAUAUGUUUUAUAUGUUAUUGUAUUAAACAAUAACUUUUAAUUAAUAAAUUAUUGUGUGGAUAUUUACUUUGGAUA